ACGGAGGGUGCAAGCGUUAAUCGGAAUAACUGGGCGUAAAGGGCAUGCAGGCGGUUAAACAAGUAGGGUGUGAAAGCCCGGGGCUCAACCUCGGAAUUGCAUUCUAAACUGUGUAACUAGAGUAUUGCAGGGGGAGACGGAAUUCCAGGUGUAGCGGUGGAAUGCGUAGAGAUCUGGAAGAACACCAAAGGCGAAGGCAGUCUCCUGGGCAAAUACUGACGCUCAUAUGCGAAAGCGUGGGUAGCAAACAG
This 251-nucleotide ribosomal RNA is filed under the name uncultured bacterium. RNAcentral describes it as "partial 16S ribosomal RNA". It matches the Rfam family "Bacterial small subunit ribosomal RNA", at positions 525 to 775 of the family's 1533-position model. The record is from RNAcentral.